Molecule: ribosomal RNA, 197 nt
Filed under: uncultured bacterium
Lineage: Bacteria
Description: partial 16S ribosomal RNA
Rfam family: Bacterial small subunit ribosomal RNA
Source: RNAcentral
UCCUACGGGAGGCAGCAGUGGGGAAUUUUGGACAAUGGGCGAAAGCCUGAUCAGCCGUUCCGCGUGAGUGAAGAAGGCCUUCGGGUUGUAAAGCUCUUUCGCAGGAACGAAACGGUGGGCUCUAAUACACCCACUAAUGACGGUACCUGAAGAAGAAACACCGGCUAACUACGUGCCAGCAGCCGCGGUAAUUAAAC